Molecule: ribosomal RNA, 301 nt
Filed under: uncultured bacterium
Lineage: Bacteria
Description: partial 16S ribosomal RNA
Rfam family: Bacterial small subunit ribosomal RNA
Source: RNAcentral
CAGUCGCCGCGGGAAUACGGAGGGUGCAAGCGUUAAUCGGAAUUACUGGGCGUAAAGCGCACGCAGGCGGUCUGACAAGUCAGAUGUGAAUUCCCCGGGCUUAACCUGGGAACUGCAUUUGAAACUGUCAGGCUGGAGUCUUGUAGAGGGGGGUGGAAUUCCAGGUGUAGCGGUGAAAUGCGUAGAGAUCUGGAGGAAUACCGGUGGCGAAGGCGGCCCCCUGGACAAAGACUGACGCUCAGGUGCGAAAGCGUGGGGAGCAAACAGGAUUAGAUACCCCUGUAGUCCCUGUCUCUUAUAC